This 660-nucleotide long non-coding RNA is filed under the name Marmota monax (woodchuck). Lineage: Eukaryota; Metazoa; Chordata; Mammalia; Rodentia; Sciuridae. The record is from RNAcentral.
UAAGUUUCUGUUAUUGUCUUGCCAAAAAUUCCUUGUUUUCAUGCAUUUCCCCCCUCCUUUCAAAGAUUUUUAAAAUUAGGUCCUCAAUUUCCAGUUUUAAAAUUCCUGUUGCGCACAGGUGAUUUUUAGGGCACUGAAGUGAAACUGUUCUGUGAUACUUCAAGGGUAAAUAUACAACAGUUUGCACUUGUGAAGACAAAACCAAAACAAAACUGUACAAUAUGAAGACAAAACCCUAAGAUAAACUGGGGACUUCAGUUAACAGUGUUCUAUUAAUUUUAUUACAUCAAUUGUAAUGUACCACGCCAAUGCAAGGUGUUAAUCACAAGAGAAAUGGAGUGUGAAAGGAGGGGUAUAUAUUGAGAAUUCUACUGCUUCAUUUUUCUGUAAAUCUAAAACUUAUGUCAGAACAGUAUUUCAUGCUACACUGAUUAAAUUUUGGAGAACUGGCUGAACCUUUAAAAUAUAAAAUUUUUGUAUCUUGGAACAAGGAUAUCUUCCUAUUAAUUCAGGUCUUCAUUGAUGGUCCUACAUUAGUGUUUUAUUGUUUUCUCCAGGUAUGCCUUCCACAUUUUUGAUUUAUUUAUUCCUAGGUAUUUUAUGACUUUCUUGCUAUGGUGAAUAGCAUUCUUUUAAUUUCUAGUAUAUUUUCUCAUUGAC